Molecule: ribosomal RNA, 535 nt
Filed under: uncultured bacterium
Lineage: Bacteria
Description: partial 16S ribosomal RNA
Rfam family: Bacterial small subunit ribosomal RNA
Source: RNAcentral
UGGGGAAUAUUGCACAAUGGGCGCAAGCCUGAUGCAGCAACGCCGCGUGAGGGACGACGGCCUUCGGGUUGUAAACCUCUUUUAGUAGGGAAGAAGCGAAAGUGACGGUACCUGCAGAAAAAGCACCGGCUAACUACGUGCCAGCAGCCGCGGUAAUACGUAGGGUGCGAGCGUUGUCCGGAAUUAUUGGGCGUAAAGAGCUCGUAGGCGGUCUGUCGCGUCUGCUGUGAAAACCCGAGGCUCAACCUCGGGCCUGCAGUGGGUACGGGCAGACUAGAGUGCGGUAGGGGAGAAUGGAAUUCCUGGUGUAGCGGUGGAAUGCGCAGAUAUCAGGAGGAACACCGAUGGCGAAGGCAGUUCUCUGGGCCGUAACUGACGCUGAGGAGCGAAAGCGUGGGGAGCGAACAGGAUUAGAUACCCUGGUAGUCCACGCCGUAAACGUUGGGCGCUAGAUGUGGGGCACCAUUCCACGGUUUCCGUGUCGCAGCUAACGCAUUAAGCGCCCCGCCUGGGGAGUACGGCCGCAAGGCUAAAA